RNAcentral lists this ribosomal RNA (616 nucleotides) under uncultured bacterium. Its description in RNAcentral is "bacterial SSU rRNA". It matches the Rfam family "Bacterial small subunit ribosomal RNA", at positions 31 to 638 of the family's 1533-position model. The record is from RNAcentral.
GAACGCUGGCGGCAGGCUUAACACAUGCAAGUCGAGCGGUAACAUUUCUAGCUUGCUAGAAGAUGACGAGCGGCGGACGGGUGAGUGACGCGUAGGAAUCUGCCUAGUAGUGGGGGACAACAUGUGGAAACGCAUGCUAAUACCGCAUACGCCCUACGGGGGAAAGGAGGGGAUCUUCGGACCUUUCGCUAUUAGAUGAGCCUGCGUGAGAUUAGCUAGUUGGUGGGGUAAAGGCCUACCAAGGCGACGAUCUCUAGCUGGUCUGAGAGGAUGAUCAGCCACACUGGGACUGAGACACGGCCCAGACUCCUACGGGAGGCAGCAGUGGGGAAUAUUGGACAAUGGGCGCAAGCCUGAUCCAGCCAUGCCGCGUGUGUGAAGAAGGCCUUAGGGUUGUAAAGCACUUUCAGGAGUGAGGAAGGGUAUGCAGUUAAUACCUGUAUAUUUUGACGUUAACUCCAGAAGAAGCACCGGCUAACUCUGUGCCAGCAGCCGCGGUAAUACAGAGGGUGCGAGCGUUAAUCGGAAUUACUGGGCGUAAAGCGCGCGUANGCGGUUUGUUAAGUCGGAUGUGAAAUCCCAGGGCUCAACCUUGGAAUGGCACCCGAUACUGGCA